RNAcentral lists this ribosomal RNA (253 nucleotides) under uncultured bacterium. RNAcentral describes it as "partial 16S ribosomal RNA". It matches the Rfam family "Bacterial small subunit ribosomal RNA", at positions 524 to 776 of the family's 1533-position model. The record is from RNAcentral.
UACGUAGGGUGCAAGCGUUGUCCGGAAUUAUUGGGCGUAAAGGGCGCGUAGGCGGCGCGGUAAGCGUGCGGUGAAAGCCCGGGGCUCAACCCCGGGUCGGCCGUGCGGACUGCCGGGCUGGAGCACUGUAGAGGCAGGUGGAAUUCCGGGUGUAGCGGUGGAAUGCGUAGAGAUCCGGAAGAACACCGGUGGCGAAGGCGGCCUGCUGGGCAGUAGCUGACGCUGAAGCGCGACAGCGUGGGGAGCAAACAGG